AAUUCUGAAAGAAGAAUAGGAUCUACAAGUACAACUUCACCAACAACUUCUCAUGUAGUUGUAGAAGACAACAUUGUAAAUAUUAGUACGCCAAAAGGAAUACAUAGGAGAAGUGACUGGUUGGAUGCAAAUGUCGACAUUGAAGAAAGUCUACCGGUGGCAUCUGGCCCUGAAAGACGAGUAUGCAAUUCAUCACCAAGAAGGUCUGUGGCAAGAAGACAUGACUGUUUACAAAAU
This is a long non-coding RNA of Temnothorax curvispinosus, 237 nucleotides long. RefSeq lists it as uncharacterized. The transcript is spliced from 3 exons. The record is from RefSeq and is a predicted model, not a curated record. NCBI's taxonomy places the organism in Eukaryota, Metazoa, Arthropoda, Insecta, Hymenoptera, Formicidae.